This 654-nucleotide long non-coding RNA is filed under the name Rattus norvegicus (Norway rat). RNAcentral's name for it is "long non-coding RNA NONRATT012201". The record is from RNAcentral. Lineage: Eukaryota; Metazoa; Chordata; Mammalia; Rodentia; Muridae.
GGGGACCCCCACAUCCCGCACUGCCGCGCCCCAGCCCCAUGCCUGCGGUCCCCAGACUCCUGCCUCCGCCUCCGGACGACUCCGGGACAGCUCAGGGAAGGGACACAAAGCGCCUGGCCCGGCCACCUGUUCCCCCGCCCGGCGCCGGGCCGCCCUCCCGCUCCUCCCACUGCCUGCGGCGGCCACUCACCCGGCCCCGCACCUCUCGCUCCGAGCGCCCUGAUCCCCGCGGCGGGUCCGGAUCCGGGGGAGCUCCGAGUGGCCUCCGCUCCGUGAGUCGGGCGCAGCUCGGCCCCGCGGGGACACAGCCACCACCUCUUCAGCGCCCUCCUCCUCCGCUGCGCUCGCGGCUCCUCCCGGUCCGCGCUCCCGCCCGGCCGCGCGCACCCCGCACACACCCACUCGCCCGCACCGAGCGCGCGCCCCACCUGUGACUCGGCGCCCGGCUGCCCUCUGCCGCCCGCUUCGAAGAAGCCGGAGGCUUUCGUCCCCCAGAGUGUGAACCCAAGGAUCCGUGUGGGCCAGACGACGUGCUUCGCGUCAGGAAAACCACAAAAAAAUACAGCAGGUUUCAAACAGAAAUCAAUAAAGUCCUGCCCCGGGAGACGCCCACACCCUGAUGGAAACGAUAGCAAAUAAAUAGCUUAUAAAUGA